RNAcentral lists this non-coding RNA (919 nucleotides) under Pristimantis incomptus. RNAcentral describes it as "partial 12S ribosomal RNA". It matches the Rfam family "Bacterial small subunit ribosomal RNA". Lineage: Eukaryota; Metazoa; Chordata; Amphibia; Anura; Strabomantidae. The record is from RNAcentral.
AUCAAUUUUNACUCAACUUACACAUGCAAGUCUCCGCACACCCGUGAAAACGCCCUUACACCCACCUAGGGAUAAGGAGCUGAUAUCAGGCACAAGNNNUUGCCCAAAACAUCUAGCCACGCCACACCCAUAAGGGCCCUCAGCAGUGAUUAACAUUAAGAAUAAACGUAAGUUUGACUUAGUCAGNAGAAAANCAGAGCCGGCCAAUCUGGUGCCAGCCGCCGCGGUUACACCAUNGUGGCUCAAAUUGAUUUUAACACGGCGUAAAGCGUGAUUAAAGAAAUAUAUNNNNUCUGNNGNGGUUAAAAUUAAAUUAAGCUGUCGCACGAUUAUUUUUAAGAAGUCCUCACUNCGAAAGUUACCCCAAUAGACCAACUUGAAUUCACGACAACUAGAACACAAACUGGGAUUAGAUACCCCACUAUGUCUAGUCGUAAACUUUAACUUACACCACNNANNNUCGCCAGGGGACUACGAGCAAAGCUUAAAACCCAAAGGACUUGACGGUACCCCAUAUCCUUCUAGAGGAGCCUGUCCUGUAAUCGAUAACCCCCGUUCAACCUCACCAUUUUUAGCCCAUCAGCCUGUAUACUUCCGUCGUCAGCUUACCGCAUGAGCGANANNCAGUAAACUCAAUGUCAANCCAUCAAUACGUCAGGUCAAAGUGCAGCAUAUAAAAUGGCAAGAGAUGGGCUACACUUUCUACCCUAGAAAAUACGAAAAAUUAUGUGAAACCAUAUUCAGAAGGCGGAUUUAGCAGUAAGGGCGAACUAGAAUGCCCCCCUUAACUUGGCACUGGGGUGUGUACACACCGCCCGUCACCCUCUUCAAUUAACCCACCUAGUACCUAACAUCUUAUNACUCAAACAGAAGAGGCAAGUCGUAACAUGGUAAGCAUACCGGAAGGUGUGCUUGGAAC